RNA transcript from Chenopodium quinoa (quinoa), 1337 nucleotides. RefSeq lists it as uncharacterized. The transcript has 6 exons. NCBI's taxonomy places the organism in Eukaryota, Viridiplantae, Streptophyta, Magnoliopsida, Caryophyllales, Amaranthaceae. The record is from RefSeq and is a predicted model, not a curated record.
UUUUUAAUCAGUGAAGUUUUUUAAUCAAUGAAUAUCAAUUUCGCUAAUUAUUUGUGUUAGUUCUAAUUUCCUUAAUUUCUGUUGAGAAAAUGCUGAAAAGUUGUAAUAACUUAAUUGGGUCUUUUUUAUUUUUGUUUUGUGGGUUGUUUAUGGUAGGCAAAAAGAGCUGGAUAUGUUGAUGAAGGUUAAGGAAGUAAAAGGGUGUAUGGGGAAGGGGAGUGAUGUAUAGUAAUGGUUGGAAUUCUUGGAAGGUCAAGUUUAAAGAUUGAAAAUUUAAAGGUAUAAAGUGAAAAGAUUGUCUCGGAUGUAAAGUUAGAUCAUUUUAAAAUUUGGUGUUAAUGAGUUUAUGAAGGUUCAAAUGCAUGUUAACUUUCCUGUGAGAGUUGAGAGCUAUGGCAGUUUACAGUCCACUCGUUAAUCUACAAGCUCACAACCUCCAUUGCUCCUCCUCCUUCUCUCUUGCAAUGCCAUGUCUCUCCCUUCCUUACUUCUCUCUCAACUCAUAUUCUCUAGAAAUGAAGUAUUGGGGUGGAAGAAGAAAAAGAGGUGUUUGUUUGGCUUCUUCAUCACAGAAUUCAAGUAAUGAUGUUGCACGAAAAAGGAAAGUUGUGGAACAUUUAUGUUUACUGAGAGCAAAAGAAAAUUUAUCUGAUGAGCAAGAGAAAUAUAUGUUGGACAACCUUUAUACAUCUCAGUAUCAUAUGGCUGGCAUAGUGACAAUAUCUCUAGGACGGACGUCAGAUCAAAAUUCUAAAAAUUACAGCCAUGGUGUAUUCAUGCGUUUCAAGGCCUAGCAAAAUUUUAUGAGAAUCCUUUGUAUUUGCGUAUUCUCAAGGAGCAUGUUACACCUUUCUGUCAUGUAUGCACUGCAAUGAUUUGCUAUAUGUGGAUUUUGAAGCUGAAGUAGAAGAUGAUAUUCUUGCCAUUUUCCGGAAAGGAGAGGCACACCAGCGCAGCAGAACAGAAACAGCAGCACAUCAAACAGCAGAGCAGCAGGUCAGCCUGAACACACAACAACAUAUCAGCUAGCAGAGCAGCCACCAACACAAGACAGCCUGAACAGAAGCAAAACCAAUCACCCAGCCAGCUUGAACAGAGCAGAAACACAGCCACAGAAGCAGAACAAUCACAACCAUCAGAAUAGAAACACAGCCACAGCCAUCAGAGCAGAAACACAGCCUCAGCCAGCAGAGCAGCCACCAGCACAAGACCAGGACAGCUAGUUAAAUGAAAUGCAAGAAAGGUCGAUCAGAGAUAAGUCUGGAUUAUUUAAUUUUUUUUUGGACGAAAAUUGUAAUAUUACAGCCUUUUUUAAUGAAAAUAUGUAACUUUAUAUA